UGAGGAAUUUUGCGCAAUGGGCGAAAGCCUGACGCAGCAACGCCGCGUGGACGAUGAAGGUCUUCGGAUCGUAAAGUCCUGUCGAGUGGGAAGAAAAAUGGGUGAGCUAAUAUUUCAUCCAUUCGACUGUACCACCAAAGGAAGCCCCGGCUAACUCCGUGCCAGCAGCCGCGGUAAUACGGAGGGGGCUAGCGUUGUUCGGAAUUAUUGGGCGUAAAGGGCGCGUAGGCGGCCGAAUAAGUCUGACGUGAAAUCCCCCGGCCCAACCGGGGAACUGCGUUUGAUACUGUUCGGCUCGAGUCCGGGAGAGGGUAGUGGAAUUCCCAGUGUAGCGGUGAAAUGCGUAGAUAUUGGGAGGAACACCGGUGGCGAAGGCGGCUACCUGGACCGGUACUGACGCUGAGGCGCGAAAGCUAGGGUAGCAAACAG
RNAcentral lists this ribosomal RNA (429 nucleotides) under uncultured bacterium. RNAcentral describes it as "bacterial SSU rRNA". It matches the Rfam family "Bacterial small subunit ribosomal RNA", at positions 355 to 775 of the family's 1533-position model. The record is from RNAcentral.